AUUGAACGCUGGCGGCAUGCCUAACACAUGCAAGUCGAACGGUACGCGAAGAGCUUGCUCUUUGGCGACGAGUGGCGGACGGGUGAGUAAUACUUAGGAAUCACCCAGUAGUGGGGGACAACUCGGGGAAACUCGAGCUAAUACCGCAUACGCCCCAAGGGGAAAGCGGGGGAUCCACUCAAUAAGAGCCUUUGAGGCUCGCAUUUAACCGAAAGGGUUUUAUUGAGUGGACCUCGCGCUAUUGGAUGAGCCUAAGUCGGAUUAGCUAGUUGGUAGGGUAAAGCCCUACCAAGGCGACGAUCCGUAGCUGGUCUGAGAGGACGAUCAGCCACACUGGGCUGAGACACGGCCCAGACUCCUACGGGAGGCAGCAGUGGGGAAUAUUGGACAAUGGGGGAACCCUGAUCCAGCAAUGCCGCGUGUGUGAAGAAGGCCUGCGGGUUGUAAAGCACUUUCGUAGAGAAGAAAAGCCUAAGGUUAAUAACCUUGAGUCUUGACGUAACCUACAGAAGAAGACCGGCUAACUCCGUGCCAGCAGCCGCGGUAAUACGGAGGGUGCAAGCGUUAAUCGGAAUACUGGGCGUAAAGCGCACGUAGGUGGUUUUGUAAGUCGGAUGUGAAAGCCCUGGGCUCACCUGGHAAUUGCAUUCGAUACUGCUUAACUAGAGUAUGGUAGAGGGAAGUGGAAUUUCGGUGUANCGGUGAAAUGCGUAGAUAUCGGAAGAACACCAGU
RNAcentral lists this ribosomal RNA (733 nucleotides) under uncultured Lake Michigan sediment bacterium LMBA25. RNAcentral describes it as "bacterial SSU rRNA". It matches the Rfam family "Bacterial small subunit ribosomal RNA", at positions 28 to 713 of the family's 1533-position model. The record is from RNAcentral. Lineage: Bacteria; Pseudomonadati; Pseudomonadota; Gammaproteobacteria.